This 3591-nucleotide ribosomal RNA is filed under the name Triticum aestivum (bread wheat). RNAcentral describes it as "partial small subunit ribosomal RNA". Lineage: Eukaryota; Viridiplantae; Streptophyta; Magnoliopsida; Poales; Poaceae. The record is from RNAcentral.
AUGGAGGCCACGGCGCUGAGCAUCGGAAAGUCCGUGCUGGAUGGAGCGCUUGGCUAUGCAAAAUCUGCCCUGGCAGAGGAGGUUGCUCUGCAGCUAGGAGUCCGGCGUGAUCAGGUCUUCAUCACCAACGAGCUUGAGAUGAUGCAGGCUUUUCUCAUGACCGCCCACGAUGAGAGAUAUGAUGACGAUAGGGUCGUCAAGGUGUGGGUAAAACAGGUCCGCGACGUGGCCUAUGACGUCGAGGACACCCUCCAGGAAUUCUCUGUGCGCCUACGGAGGAAGUCCUGGUGGCGUAUCCAUCGAACGCUAUCAGAUAGGCGCCAUGUGGCCAAGCAGAUGAAGGAGCUGAGAGCCAAUGUUGAGGAUGUCAGCCAGAGGAACAUGCGCUACAACCUCAUCAAGGGCUCUAGCUCCAAGUCGGCAAGCAUCGGUGGACAGUCUGCAAUGGUUGGUACAGCUAUGUCUGGCACCGACGAAGCAAGGCGCCUACGGGAGAAAGCAAAAGUGGAUCUCGUUCAAUUGAUCAACAAGAAGGAUGAUGACCUUAGAAUCAUCGCGGUGUCAGGAAUAAGAUCAGGUCAUUUGUGGGAGACUUCAGUCAUCAGAAGGGCCUAUGAAGAUAAAAAGGUAUACAAGAAGUUUGAGUGCCGAGCCUGGAUCGCAGGGUUGAUACGUCCUUUUACUUUAACAGAGUUCUUGCGAAGCAUCAUCGAACAAUUCCAUGUAAAUUGUCUUCAAAGUGUGGGGGAAAGAGAAAAAACAGAGAUCCAAGUCCUGAGGAAGAUGGGGAUGAUGAAGAAAGAUGAUUUGGUUGAUGAAUUCAUGAGAUACGUAAAUGAGAAGACUUACCUGAUUGUACUUGAUGACAUACAGAACAUUGAAGAAUGGGGUGACAUUAAGCCAUGCUUCCAGAAUAACAAGAAAGGAAGCCGAAUCAUAGUCUCUGCAUACCAAGCUGGAGUUGCAAGCUUAUGUGUAGGGCCUGAGGAUGUAGUACCAGAGUAUAAGCAGUUGUUUGUUGAUGAGAAUAUUUAUGCUUUCUAUGAGAAGGGGUCUCAUAAUGGGAUAGAUUCAAUGGAGGCCGGGAGUAGCUCCAAUACAGGCAUUGCUGGCAGUGACGGCUCUGGCAAUAAGAAGAUUCUUAAUCACAGAGAGACACUAGCAGUUUUUAGGGACACUCAACUCAUUGGGCGUGAGAAAGAAAAGUCAGAAAUCCUAAAACUAGUUUUAAAUGAAGAUAGCCAACAACUUGAAGUGAUAAGCUUGUGGGGAAUGGGUGGUAUUGGAAAAACCACACUAGUCAGAGAUGUCUACCAAGAGCUUAGUGGCAAGUUUGAGAAGCGUGCUUGUGUCACGAUUCUGCGACCUUUCAGCCUUGACAAGCUUCUCGAGGACAUAGCUAUGCAGAUUGGAUGUGAAGUGAAAAAGAUGGUUAGAUAUUUAGAAGGAAAGAAAUACUUGAUUGUUCUCGAUGAUCUAUCAUCCAAUACAGAAUGGGAUACUAUAAUACCACAAUUUCCUGCAAUGGAAACAUCAAGUCGGAUCAUAGUCACCACAAGAAUAAAGGAUAUUGCUAAUCAUUGUUCAAACAAGCAUAAAAAUAUAUGCGAACUCCAAAGGCUAGGACACAGAAGCGCGCGUGAUCUCUUCAUGAAAAAGGUAUUUGGCAGGACUAUAAAUUUGGAUGAGCAGUAUCCUACUUUGAUUGAACAAGCAAAUCUGAUCCUCAAGAAAUGCAACGGACUUCCUCUUGCAAUAGUGACAAUAGGUGGUUUCUUGGCAAACCAACCAAAAAUCGCUUUCCAAUGGAGGAAACUGAAUGAGCAUAUCAGUGCUGAGUUGGCAAUGAAUCCAGAACUUGGGACCAUAAAAACCGUCCUUAUGAGAAGCUAUGAUGGUUUACCCUAUCACCUCAAGUCUUGUUUCCUAUAUAUGCCUAUAUUUCCUGAAGACUACAGGGUUGGGCGGGGACGCUUGGUGCGUCGGUGGACUGCGGAGGGUUACUCAAGGGAGGUGCGUGGCAAGUUCGCAGUGCAAAUAGCGGAUAGCUACUUCAUGGAACUGAUGAGCAGGAGCAUGAUCCUACCGUCUGAGAAGUCAAUUCAUAGUACAAAAGGGAUUGAUUCCUGCCAAGUCCAUGAUCUCAUCCGUGAAAUUGGCAUCUCAAAGUCAAUGGAAGAAAAUCUUGUUUUUACACUCGAAGAAGGUUGCAUCUCAAACAGCCAGGCCACGGUGCGCCACCUGGCUAUAAAUGGCAACUGGAAGGGGGAUAAGAGUGAGUUUGAGAGCAUAGUGGACAUGUUGCGUCUGCGGUCAUUAACAGUUUUCGGUCAGUGGAAGUCAUUUUUCAUUUCUGACAAGAUGAGUAUGCUCCGAGUUCUAGACUUGGAAGACACAAAAGAUCUGCGUCAUCACCACCUUAAGCAUAUUUGGAAACUUCUUCACCUAAGAUAUCUUUCCCUAAGAGCAUGUCCAACAAUUUUUGACCUGCCAGAUUCGUUGGGUAAUCUGAGGCAACUCGAGACGCUAGAUGUGAGAGGAACUGGAAUUCUCAAGUUGCCAAAGAGCAUCAUCAAGCUUCAGAAGCUAAAUCAUCUUCGUGCUGGGAUCAUACCGGCAUAUGAGGAUUUCGUUUCAUGGGAACAAGCUGUAGGUCAUAUUCCAAAGGUAAUGAAGUGCCGGCCAUGCACUUUAUUAUUAGGGACAAUGUUGUGUUGUCUUGCUUGUUUUGCACCUGAAUCUUUUUUAGGUGAUGGCAUGAGCCACCGUGAUGUAUGCGCUAUGUUUUGCUGCUGCAUAUUACCUAUUCUUGCGACGCGCUUGGACGCACAUGGUGUUCUAGUGCCAAGUGGGAUGACGAAGCUGAAAGCCCUGCACACACUGGGUGUUGUCAACAUCGGACGAGGGAAGGUCAUUCUACAGGACAUAAAAGGACUCACCAGGUUGCGCAAGUUGGGAGUGACUGGCGUCAAUAAGGAAAAUGGACAAGAGCUUUGUUCAGCAAUUGUUGGGCUGAGACAUCUGGAGUCAUUGUCAAUCCGGUCAGAGGGGGAGCCAGGUUUAUCUGGCUGCUUGGAUGGGAUGUCGUCACCUCCGGAGAACCUGCAGAGCCUCAAGUUGUAUGGCAACCUGGUGAAAUUGCCAGAAUGGAUCCAGGAGCUGAAACAUCUGGUGAAACUGAAGCUGCGCAACUCUACCAUAUCAGAGCAUGAUGCUGCCAUACAAGUCAUUGGUAAUCUACCAAACCUGACAUUCCUGCAUCUGCUGGAGAAGUCGUUCAAGGGUGAAGAGGUCUGUCUCAGUUUGCUGCCGGGGACGUUUGUGAGGCUGAUGGUGCUGGAACUGAGACCAACGCUCAAAUGCUUGAAGUUUGAACAAGGAGCAGCCUGUAAACUUGAGCUGCUCAAGUUUCGUUUUGCAGACAUCAACAACGAGUCGCUUUUGGGUCUACCAUCACUCGCAAGCCUCAAGGAAGUUGUGCUCCAAGAUUACUUCGAUGACACUGGAUUGGCAUACCUGCGGACUGAACUCGCCGAGAAUCCAAAUCGUCCCAUCCUGAAGAGGGCCUUUGAAGUCGUAAAGGUUGUUUGA